Molecule: non-coding RNA, 83 nt
Organism: Otolemur garnettii (small-eared galago)
Lineage: Eukaryota; Metazoa; Chordata; Mammalia; Primates; Galagidae
Source: Rfam
GAUGCACUCAGUGGGGGAGCCAGGAAGUAUUGAUGUUUCUGCCAGUUUAGCGUCAACACUUGCUGGUUUCCUCUCUGGAGCAU